CCUACGGGAGGCAGCAGUGGGGAAUAUUGGACAAUGGGGGGAACCCUGAUCCAGCGACGCCGCGUGAGUGAAGAAGUAUUUCGGUAUGUAAAGCUCUAUCAGCAGGGAAGAAAGAAAUGACGGUACCUGACUAAGAAGCCCCGGCUAACUACGUGCCCGCAGCCGCGGUAAUACGUAGGGGGCAAGCGUUAUCCGGAUUUACUGGGUGUAAAGGGAGCGUAGACGGCAGUGCAAGUCUGGAGUGAAAGGAGGGGGCUCAACCCCCGGACUGCUCUGGAAACUGUACGGCUGGAGUGCAGGAGAGGUAAGUGGAAUUCCUAGUGUAGCGGUGAAAUGCGUAGAUAUUAGGAGGAACACCAGUGGCGAAGGCGGCUUACUGGACUGUAACUGACGUUGAGGCUCGAAAGCGUGGGGAGCAAACAGGAUUAGAUACCCCAGUAGUC
Molecule: ribosomal RNA, 443 nt
Filed under: uncultured bacterium
Lineage: Bacteria
Description: partial 16S ribosomal RNA
Rfam family: Bacterial small subunit ribosomal RNA
Source: RNAcentral